RNAcentral lists this ribosomal RNA (301 nucleotides) under uncultured bacterium. RNAcentral's name for it is "partial 16S ribosomal RNA". It matches the Rfam family "Bacterial small subunit ribosomal RNA", at positions 509 to 810 of the family's 1533-position model. The record is from RNAcentral.
CAGCCGCCGCGGGAAUACGGAGGGUGCAAGCGUUAAUCGGAAUUACUGGGCGUAAAGGGUGCGUAGGCGGUUGUUUAAGUCUGUUGUGAAAUCCCCGGGCUCAACCUGGGAAUGGCAAUGGAAACUGGGCGGCUAGUGUGGUAGAGGAUAGUGGAAUUUCCGGUGUAGCAGUGAAAUGCGUAGAGAUCGUGAGGAAGACCAGUUGCGAAGGCGAAUCUCUGGGCAGUUCCUGACACUGAGGCACGAAGGCCAGGGGAGCAAACGGGAUUAGAGACCCCAGUAGUCCCUGUCUCUUAUAUAC